UCCCUGGUGGUCCAGUGGCUAAGACUCCACAUUCCCAAUGCAGGGGCUGUGGGUUUGAUUCCCGGUCAGGGAA
Molecule: transfer RNA, 73 nt
Filed under: Ovis aries (sheep)
Lineage: Eukaryota; Metazoa; Chordata; Mammalia; Artiodactyla; Bovidae
Rfam family: tRNA
About the family: Transfer RNA (tRNA) molecules are approximately 80 nucleotides in length.
Source: Rfam by way of RNAcentral